RNAcentral lists this transfer RNA (72 nucleotides) under Sporothrix schenckii ATCC 58251. It matches the Rfam family "tRNA". Rfam says of the family: Transfer RNA (tRNA) molecules are approximately 80 nucleotides in length. Their secondary structure includes four short double-helical elements and three loops (D, anti-codon, and T loops). The record is from Rfam by way of RNAcentral. Lineage: Eukaryota; Fungi; Ascomycota; Sordariomycetes; Ophiostomatales; Ophiostomataceae.
GGACGUGUAGCUCACUAAUAUAGCGAGGGAUUGCAGAUUCCAAAGUCGGGGUUUCGAAUACCCCUGGGUCCU